This is a long non-coding RNA of Salvelinus fontinalis (brook trout), 1152 nucleotides long. RefSeq lists it as uncharacterized. The record is from RefSeq and is a predicted model, not a curated record. NCBI's taxonomy places the organism in Eukaryota, Metazoa, Chordata, Actinopteri, Salmoniformes, Salmonidae. The transcript is spliced from 4 exons.
CCCCAGUGCAGCAGCAACAGCACAUGAUGGAGACGAUGAUGAGGAGGAGACCAUCUUUCUGGAUUCCAGAAGGCAUGAGGACCCAGAUGCUAUACAGUGGGAAAACCAGCCUGGCAACAUAGUGCGUAUUAAUAAAAGGACACCACAUCCUGCCAAAUUCCAGCUGCGCUAAUUGUAUUGUGUUCACAGAGCUCACAAGCUAUCAGAAAGUUGUAUGGCAACCACCUCCGGCGCCAAAUAGAACUGGCAGACAUAGACAUUCAGUACAAGAAGAAAAAGAUGGAAAAUCUUGCACUGGAGUCCGAAAUAAAAAAGAGGACAAUUAGGAAACUGGACCUUGAAAUAAAAAAACUUGAGAGGGAGCUCCAAGAAGAUGACACAGCUCAAAAUAAAAAUUAGGUAUAUUCUCGUAAAGUCAAGUGAGCCAUGACAUAUGAGCUCUUAUUGUGAGCACACAGGACGGUGGCAUCUUUCUAAGUUUUUUUUUAUUUUCCCAGCAAUCAGUACAACCAAGUCAUCGUUAUAAGGCAUCGCCCUCUUUUGCCCACCCCCCCAGCACCAGGUGUGGCCACUAGCCUAUAUGAAGGCCCAAAAUUGUGUGUUCCUUUCUGCUCUGACAAUGGCAUGCCCAUUCGUGCGAGAUGUGGUGGAUGAAGAAGCACUUGUGCUGAGGAGAGCCUUCAGGCGAGAAAGGGUCUUCAGGGACCGGUUGGACCCACUGGCCUUCCCUGAUGACCAUCUAUAUGAAAGAUACAGGUUUUCUGCAGAUGGCAUCAGGUAUCUAUGCAGACUACUGGGUCCCAGGAUUAAGCACCGCACUGCACGGAGCCAUGCACUGAGUGUGGAGCAAAUGGUUUGUGUGGCCUUGCGCUUUUUUGCUAGUGGAGCCUUCCUGUACUCAGUGGGGGAUGCUGAACAAGGCCACAAUUUGCCGCACAAUAAGGAGUGUGUGUCUGGCUAUCAAAGCAUUAGCAGAUGUCUUCAUCUCCUUCCCUGGCCACAGAAGACUCUGUGACAUCAAAGAGGAGUUCUAUAGGAUUGCAGAUGGUCUGCAAUGCUGACUGUGUGAUCAGCAAUGUUGUGGCAAAAUGGCCUGGCUCAGUCCAUGACUCCAGAAUCUUUCGGGCCUCUGAAAUCUAUCAGUGCCUAUCA